CUACGGGAGGCUCCAGUGAGGAAUAUUGCACAAUGGGGGGAACCCUGAUGCAGCAACGCCGCGUGGAGGAUGACGCAUUUCGGCGUGUAAACUCCUUUUAUAUGUCAAGAAAAUGACGGUAGCAUAUGAAUAAGCACCGGCUAACUCCGUGCCAGCAGCCGCGGUAAUACGGAGGGUGCAAGCGUUACUCGGAAUCACUGGGCGUAAAGGACGCGUAGGCGGGUUGGAAAGUCAGGUGUGAAAUCCUACAGCUUAACUGUAGAACUGCACUUGAAACUUCUAAUCUAGAGUAUGGGAGGGGGAGAUGGAAUUAGUGGUGUAGGGGUAACAUCCGUAGAUAUCACUAGGAAUACCUAAAGCGAAGGCGAUCUCCUGGAACAUUACUGACGCUAAGGCGUGAAAGCGUGGGGAGCAAACAGGAUUAGAUACCCCCGUAGUC
This 439-nucleotide ribosomal RNA is filed under the name uncultured bacterium. Its description in RNAcentral is "partial 16S ribosomal RNA". It matches the Rfam family "Bacterial small subunit ribosomal RNA", at positions 339 to 795 of the family's 1533-position model. The record is from RNAcentral.